RNAcentral lists this ribosomal RNA (253 nucleotides) under uncultured bacterium. RNAcentral describes it as "partial 16S ribosomal RNA". It matches the Rfam family "Bacterial small subunit ribosomal RNA", at positions 524 to 776 of the family's 1533-position model. The record is from RNAcentral.
UACAGAGGUCUCAAGCGUUGUUCGGAUUCAUUGGGCGUAAAGGGUGCGUAGGCGGCGCGGUAAGUCGGGUGUGAAAUCUCGGGGCUUAACUCCGAAACUGCAUUCGAUACUGCCGUGCUUGAGGACUGGAGAGGAGACUGGAAUUUACGGUGUAGCGGUGAAAUGCGUAGAUAUCGGAAGGAAGACCAGUGGCGAAGGCGGGUCUCUGGACAGUGCCUGACGCUGAGGCACGAAGGCCAGGGGAGCAAACGGG